AUACGUAGGGGGCGAGCGUUGUCCGGAAUCACUGGGCGUAAAGGGUGCGUAGGCGGUUGGUUAAGUCUCGUGGGAAAGGCCUCGGCUCAACUGAGGAGACCCGCGAGAGACUGGCCAGCUAGAGGGCCGGAGAGGGUAGUGGAAUUCCCGGUGUAGCGGUGAAAUGCGUAGAGAUCGGGAGGAACACCAGUGGCGAAGGCGGCUACCUGGACGGUACCUGACGCUGAGGCACGAAAGCUGGGGGAGCAAACAGGAUUAGAUACCCUGGUAGUCCCAGCCGUAAACGAUGGACGCUAGGUGUGGGCAGGCAGCCCCUGCCCGUGCCGGAGUUUACACAAUAAGCGUCCCGCCUGGGGAGUACGGCCGCAAGGCUGAA
Molecule: ribosomal RNA, 376 nt
Filed under: uncultured bacterium
Lineage: Bacteria
Description: bacterial SSU rRNA
Rfam family: Bacterial small subunit ribosomal RNA
Source: RNAcentral